CGUCUAGGCGGCAGCCUAAGUCCCAUGUGAAAGCUCCCGGCUCAACUGGGAGAGGGCAUGGGAAACUAGGUCGCUCGAGACUCGGAGGGGGGUGCGGAAUUCCCGGUGGAGUGGUGAAAUGCGUUGAGAUCGGGAGGAACACCAGUAGCGAAGGCGGCACCCUGGCCGAGGUCUGACGCUGAAGCGCGACAGCGUGGGGAGCGAACG
Molecule: ribosomal RNA, 207 nt
Filed under: uncultured bacterium
Lineage: Bacteria
Description: partial 16S ribosomal RNA
Rfam family: Bacterial small subunit ribosomal RNA
Source: RNAcentral